UACAGCCAAAUACCGCUGAAUUUCACCAGACAUCGUCAGUGAUGCCAUAUUGAUUUCCUACGUAACUUUCGUUUUGAAUGUUAGGCAUGGGCGGUCAUAACUUUCGCUGGUUGACAAGGUUCCAAAUAGCGAUGGCAGGCGAGGCCAGUGAGAUCUGUCAAAAGCAUUUUUUAAAAAAAAAAAAAAAAAAAAAAAAAACAAUAUCGGCGAUCUUUGCGGUCAGAUGGUGCCAUGGAUGUGAAAGCUUUGAGCUUGUUUUGAAUAUAAUUGGUGGUUAUUUUGUCUACUGGCUGCUAACUAUUUCGCGGGUACA
RNAcentral lists this small RNA (313 nucleotides) under Histoplasma capsulatum var. duboisii H88. Its description in RNAcentral is "Histoplasma capsulatum H88 hypothetical RNA". The record is from RNAcentral. Lineage: Eukaryota; Fungi; Ascomycota; Eurotiomycetes; Onygenales; Ajellomycetaceae.